GACGAACGCUGGCGGCGUGCUUAACACAUGCAAGUCGAACGGAAAGGCCCUGCUUUUGUGGGGUGCUCGAGUGGCGAACGGGUGAGUAACACGUGAGUAACCUGCCCUUGACUUUGGGAUAACUUCAGGAAACUGGGGCUAAUACCGGAUAGGAGCUCCUGCUGCAUGGUGGGGGUUGGAAAGUUUCGGCGGUUGGGGAUGGACUCGCGGCUUAUCAGCUUGUUGGUGGGGUAGUGGCUUACCAAGGCUUUGACGGGUAGCCGGCCUGAGAGGGUGACCGGCCACAUUGGGACUGAGAUACGGCCCAGACUACUACGGGAGGCAGCAGUGGGGAAUAUUGCACAAUGGGCGGAAGACUGAUGCAGCAACGCCGCGUGCGGGAUGACGGCCUUCGGGUUGUAAACCGCUUUCGCCUGUGACGAAGCGUGAGUGACGGUAAUGGGUAAAGAAGCACCGGCUAACUACGUG
This 468-nucleotide ribosomal RNA is filed under the name uncultured bacterium. Its description in RNAcentral is "partial 16S ribosomal RNA". It matches the Rfam family "Bacterial small subunit ribosomal RNA", at positions 28 to 507 of the family's 1533-position model. The record is from RNAcentral.